GUUCCAGACUCCUACGGGAGGCAGCAGUGGGGAAUAUUGCACAAUGGGGGGAACCCUGAUGCAGCGACGCCGCGUGAGUGAAGAAGUAUUUCGGUAUGUAAAGCUCUAUCAGCAGGGAAGAAAAUGACGGUACCUGACUAAGAAGCCCCGGCUAACUACGUGCCAGCAGCCGCGGGAAUACGUAGGGGGCAAGCGUUAUCCGGAUUUACUGGGUGUAAAGGGGGCGCAGACGGCGAUGCAAGCCAGGAGUGAAAGCCCGGGGCCCAACCCCGGGACUGCUCUUGGAACUGCGUGGCUAGAGUGCAGGAGGGGCAGGCGGAAUUCCUGGUGUAGCGGUGAAAUGCGUAGAUAUCAGGAGGAACACCGGUGGCGAAGGCGGCCUGCUGGACUGCAACUGACGUUGCGGCCCGAAAGCGUGGGGAGCAAACAGGAUUAGAUACCCUGGUA
This 447-nucleotide ribosomal RNA is filed under the name uncultured bacterium. RNAcentral's name for it is "partial 16S ribosomal RNA". It matches the Rfam family "Bacterial small subunit ribosomal RNA", at positions 328 to 792 of the family's 1533-position model. The record is from RNAcentral.